UGGUUCUGGCAUCGAUGAAGAACGCAGCGAAAUGCGAUAAGUAAUGUGAAUUGCAGAAUUCAGUGAAUCAUCGAAUCUUUGAACGCACAUUGCGCCCAUUAGUAUUCUAGUGGGCAUGCCUGUUCGAGCGUCAUUUCAACCCUUAAGCCUAGCUUAGUGUUGGGAGACUGCGCUAAACCGCAGCUCCUCAAAACCAGUGGCAGAGCCUAUUCGUACUCUGAGCGUAGUAAUUCUUUAUCUCGCUUCUGUAAGUCGACUAGACGAUAGCCAUAAACCUUGACUUCGGUCAUAAUUUUUAAUGGUUGACCUCGGAUCAGGUAGGAAUACCCGCUGA
RNAcentral lists this unclassified non-coding RNA (334 nucleotides) under uncultured fungus. Its description in RNAcentral is "partial contains 5.8S ribosomal RNA and internal transcribed spacer 2". The stretch from base 1 to 133 matches the Rfam family "5.8S ribosomal RNA", at positions 22 to 154 of the family's 154-position model. Lineage: Eukaryota; Fungi. The record is from RNAcentral.